Molecule: ribosomal RNA, 166 nt
Filed under: uncultured bacterium
Lineage: Bacteria
Description: partial 16S rRNA
Rfam family: Bacterial small subunit ribosomal RNA
Source: RNAcentral
UAGGGAAUCUUCGGCAAUGGGGGCAACCCUGACCGAGCAACGCCGCGUGAGUGAAGAAGGUUUUUCGGAUCGUAAAGCUCUGUUGUAAGAGAAGAACGUGUGUGAGAGUGGAAAGUUCACACAGUGACGGUAACUUACCAGAAAGGGACGGCUAACUACGUGUCAG